Molecule: ribosomal RNA, 380 nt
Filed under: uncultured eukaryote
Lineage: Eukaryota
Description: partial 18S ribosomal RNA
Rfam family: Eukaryotic small subunit ribosomal RNA
Source: RNAcentral
CAAUAGCGUAUAUUAAAGUUGCUGCAGUUAAAAAGCUCGUAGUUGGAUUUGUGGCGUACGGUGUGUUCCGGGCACUUGUUGUCUGAGUAACCUGCUGUUGCCAUCCUUGGGUGGAACCUGUGUGGCAUUAGGUUGUCGUGCAGGGGAUGCCCAUCAUUUACUGUGAAAAAAUUAGAGUGUUCAAAGCAGGCUUAUGCCGUUGAAUAUAUUAGCAUGGAAUAAUGAGAUAGGACUUUUUUGCUAUUUUGUUGGUUUGCGCAAGAAGGUAAUGAUUAAUAGGGACAGUUGGGGGUAUUCGUAUUCCAUUGUCAGAGGUGAAAUUCUUGGAUUUUUGGAAGACGAACUACUGCGAAAGCAUUUACCAAGGAUGUUUUCAUUAA